UGAAUAUUAAUUAGAUGAUGUAAAUAUACGCUCCCGGAAGGUUGCCAGGCAACGCGCACACGGCGUAAUUAAUAUUCAUGAGGAACGCCUUUCCCGUAGUAGAAUCGGUAAUUUGGCGUCUUACUUCACACAUGAGUCCGUCCUUACGAGUCCUGAAGCGGCGGAAGAGGCAUGAUUUUCCAAGCGCAGGCUGUUCUUUCACCGCCUUAAACCAGACAGACGCAAGACUAGCGAACACACGACCAGAUUUAGACGUUUUUUCCUCAUUUUCAAACGCAUUUUGCUCAUUUCCUGCAGUAUAAACUUAUUUAUUAGCUUUAGCCAGGUAGCUUGUAUUUGGAAAUUGGACAAGUAUGAUCAGCCUGGCUGUGGAUUAAUCGGCCUGUUUCAAUAGAAGAUUCAUUUUUCUCUUGUGAAACCGCAAUGUCACAUACUGUAGUAAAAAUAGCCUGUUGUUUUUGUUAUUCCAAAAGCAGAGCUGUCUGAAGUUGAUUUUAGACCAAAUCAAGGCCGAACAAAGAGGACAACCAUCCAAAGCCUUUUCAUUUCAUCUUCAGAGAGAGAAAGCACAAAAACA
Molecule: long non-coding RNA, 577 nt
Organism: Sinocyclocheilus rhinocerous
Lineage: Eukaryota; Metazoa; Chordata; Actinopteri; Cypriniformes; Cyprinidae
Exons: 2
Source: RefSeq, a predicted model, not a curated record